UAUCUAAUCCUGUUCGCUCCCCACGCUUUCGUCCCUCAGCGUCAGUACAUACGUAGUAGACUGCCUUCGCAAUCGGUAUUCUGUGUAAUAUCUAUGCAUUUCACCGCUACACUACACAUUCUAUCUACUUCCAUAUGACUCAAGUCAACCAGUAUCAAAGGCAGUUCCAUAGUUGAGCUAUGGGAUUUCACCUCUGACUUAAUCGACCGCCUGCGGACCCUUUAAACCCAAUGAUUCCGGAUAACGCUCGGACCCUCCGUAUUACCGCGGCUGCUGGCACGGAGUUAGCCGGUCCUUAUUCUUACAGUACCGUCAAGCUGGUAUACAUACCAGUGUUUCUUCCUGUAUAAAAGUAGUUUACAACCCAUAGGGCAUUCUUCCUACACGCGGCAUGGCUGGAUCAGAGUCUCCUCCAUUGUCCAAUAUUCCUCACUGCUGCCUCCCGUAGGAGUCUGGUCCGUGUCUCAGUACCAGUGUGGGGGAUCUCCCUCUCAGGACCCCUACCUAUCGCUGUCUUGGUAAGCCGUUACCUUACCAACUAACUAAUAGGACGCAUAGCCAUCUUUUACCGAUAAAUCUUUAAUUAUAAACUGAUGCCAGUCUACAAUACUAUGAGGCAUUAAUCUUCAUUUCUAAAGGCUAUUCCUCUGUAAAAGGUAGGUUCUAUACGCGUUACGCACCCGUGCGCCGGUCGUCAUCUGUGCAAGCACAAUGUUACCCCUCGACUUGCAUGUGUUAAGCCUGCCGCUAGCGUUCAUCCUGAGCCAGGAUCAAACUCU
RNAcentral lists this ribosomal RNA (779 nucleotides) under uncultured bacterium. RNAcentral describes it as "partial 16S ribosomal RNA". The record is from RNAcentral.